Molecule: ribosomal RNA, 634 nt
Filed under: uncultured Microbacterium sp.
Lineage: Bacteria; Bacillati; Actinomycetota; Actinomycetes; Micrococcales; Microbacteriaceae
Description: bacterial SSU rRNA
Rfam family: Bacterial small subunit ribosomal RNA
Source: RNAcentral
UUGAUCCUGCCGGAUCAGUGGCGAACGGGUGAGUAACACGUGAGCAAUCUGCCCCGGACUCUGGGAUAAGCUGCUGGAAACUGGCUGUCUAAUACCUGGAUACGACGCGCGAAGUGCAUCUUCUGCGCGUGGAAAGAAUUUCGGUCCGGGAUGAGCUCGCGGCCUAUCAGCUUGUUGGUGAGGUACUGGCUCACCAAGUGCGACGACGGGUAGCCGGCCUGAGAGGGUGACCGGCCACACUGGGACUGAGACACGGCCCAGACUCCUACGUGGCAGUGCAGCAGUGGGGAAUAUUUGCACAAAUGGGCUGCAAGCCUGAUGCAGCAACGCCGCGUGAGUGGACGACGUGCCUACGGGUUGUAAAACCUCUUUCGGCAGGGAACAAGCCGAAAGUGACGGUACCUGCCAGAAACAGCACCGGCUAACUACGUGCCAGAAGACGUGUGUAAUACCAUUAAGGUGCAAAAGCGUAGUCCGGGAAUUAUUGGGCGUAAAAACUCCGUAGGCGGAACGCGAUAUAGUGGAAACCCCAAGCUCACCUCAGAGCUGCAGAGGAGAACCACGGACAACAGAUGGGAACGGCGAGACUGGACAUCCGGAUGUAGGGGUGGACAGCGCGAUACCAGAAGAACAC